This 197-nucleotide ribosomal RNA is filed under the name uncultured bacterium. RNAcentral describes it as "partial 16S ribosomal RNA". It matches the Rfam family "Bacterial small subunit ribosomal RNA", at positions 1306 to 1500 of the family's 1533-position model. The record is from RNAcentral.
UGCAACUCGACUACAUGAAGCUGGAAUCGCUAGUAAUCGCGGAUCAGAAUGCCGCGGUGAAUACGUUCCCGGGUCUUGUACACACCGCCCGUCACACCAUGGGAGUCAGUAACGCCCGAAGCCGGUGACCCAACCUAUUCUGGAGGGAGCCGUCGAAGGCGGGACGGAUGACUGGGGUGAAGUCGUAACAAGGUACC